AGAGUUUGAUCAUGGCUCAGGAUGAACGCUGGCGGCAUGCUUUAACACAUGCAAGUCGAACGGAAUAUUUCGCAAGAAGUAUUUAGUGGCGCACGGGUGAGUAACGCGUAAGAACCUACCCUUUAGAGGGGGAUAACAACUGGAAACGGUUGCUAAUACCCCAUAUGCUGAGGAGUGAAAGGGAGAAAUCCCGCUUAAGGAUGGGCUUGCGUCUGAUUAGCUUGUUGGUGAGGUAAAGGCUUACCAAGGCUACGAUCAGUAGCUGGUCUGAGAGGAUGAUCAGCCACACUGGGACUGAGACACGGCCCAGACUCCUACGGGAGGCAGCAGUGGGGAAUUUUCCGCAAUGGGCGAAAGCCUGACGGAGCAAUGCCGCGUGGAGGAAGAAGGCCCGUGGGUCGUAAACUCCUUUUCUCAGAGAAGAAAUUCUGNCGGUAUNUGAGGAAUAAGCAUCGGCUAACUCUGUGCCAGCAGCCGCGGUAAUACAGAGGAUGCAAGCGUUAUCCGGAAUGAUUGGCGUAAAGCGUCUGUAGGUGGCUUAUAAAGUCUACUGUUAAAUCUUAGGGCUCAACCCUAAAAAAGCAGUGGAAACUUAUAGGCUUGAGUACGGUAGGGGCAAAGG
This 622-nucleotide ribosomal RNA is filed under the name uncultured Crater Lake bacterium CL120-78. RNAcentral describes it as "bacterial SSU rRNA". It matches the Rfam family "Bacterial small subunit ribosomal RNA", at positions 8 to 663 of the family's 1533-position model. The record is from RNAcentral.